AGGACGAACGCUGGCGGCGUGCUUAACACAUGCAAGUCGAACGGAUUCGUGGCACUUGUGUUGCGGGUUAGUGGCGAACGGGUGAGUAACACGUGGGCAACCUGCCCUAGCACUGGGAUAACUCCGGGAAACCGGGGCUAAUACCGGAUACGACCUCUGAGGGCAUCCUCGGGAGGUGGAAAGCAUUGUGGCUAGGGAUGGGCCCGCGGCCUAUCAGCUUGUUGGUGAGGUAACGGCCCACCAAGGCGACGACGGGUA
This 258-nucleotide ribosomal RNA is filed under the name uncultured bacterium. Its description in RNAcentral is "partial small subunit ribosomal RNA". It matches the Rfam family "Bacterial small subunit ribosomal RNA", at positions 26 to 285 of the family's 1533-position model. The record is from RNAcentral.